Molecule: ribosomal RNA, 480 nt
Filed under: uncultured bacterium
Lineage: Bacteria
Description: bacterial SSU rRNA
Rfam family: Bacterial small subunit ribosomal RNA
Source: RNAcentral
AUUGAACGCUGGCGGAAUGCUUUACACAUGCAAGUCGAACGGUAGAGGGGGCAACCCCUCGAGAGUGGCGAACGGGUGAGUAAUAUAUCGGAACGUGCCCAGUCGUGGGGGAUAACGUAGCGAAAGUUACGCUAAUACCGCAUACGAUCUAAGGAUGAAAGCGGGGGAUCGCAAGACCUCGCGCGAUUGGAGCGGCCGAUAUCAGAUUAGGUAGUUGGUGGGGUAAAGGCUCACCAAGCCAACGAUCUGUAGCUGGUCUGAGAGGACGACCAGCCACACUGGAACUGAGACACGGUCCAGACUCCUACGGGAGGCAGCAGUGGGGAAUUUUGGACAAUGGACGCAAGUCUGAUCCAGCCAUUCCGCGUGCAGGAUGAAGGCCCCUCGGGUUGUAAACUGCUUUUGUACGGAACGAAAAGGUUUCUAUUAAUACUAGGAGCUCAUGACGGUACCGUAAGAUAAGCACCGGCUAACUACGUG